This 379-nucleotide unclassified non-coding RNA is filed under the name uncultured Bryobacterales bacterium. RNAcentral's name for it is "contains 16S-23S intergenic spacer region". The record is from RNAcentral. Lineage: Bacteria; Pseudomonadati; Acidobacteriota; Terriglobia; Bryobacterales.
UCCAGCUUAUCGCUGGCGGUCUCCUGCGAGUUCCUCCCUUGCGGGUAUGGCAACACAGGACAAGGGUUGCGCUCGUUGCGGGACUUAACCCAACAUCUCACGACACGAGCUGACGACAGCCAUGCAGCACCUCGACCCCACUCCCUUGCGGGAUAAACCGGUUUCCCGAUCCGUUGAGAGGCCGUUCGAGCCCAGGUAAGGUUCUUCGCGUUGCGUCGAAUUGAACCACAUGCUCCACCGCUUGUGCGGGCCCCCGUCAAUUCCUUUGAGUUUCAGCCUUGCGACUGUACUCCCCAGGCGGCACAUUUAACGCGUUAGCUCCGGCACGGACAGACUGAACUGCCCACACCAAAUGUGCAUCGUUUAGGGCGUGGACUAC